GGUGGGUUGGCUUGUCAGGUUGAUUCCGGUAACGAACGAGACCUCAGCCUGCUAAAUAGUCACGUCCGGUUCGCCGGGCGGCAGACUUCUUAGAGGGACUAUUAGCGACUUUCAGCUAAUUGAAGUAUGAGGCAAUAACAGGUCUGUGAUGCCCUUAGAUGUUCUGGGCCGCACGCGCGCUACACUGACGCGUUCAACGAGCCUCCUGGUCACGAGAGGGCCGGGUAAUCUUGUAAACCGCGUCGUGAUGGGGCUAGAGCUUUGUAAUUAUUGCUCUUCAACGAGGAAUGCCUAGUAAGCGCGAGUCAUCAACUCGCGUUGAUUACGUCCCUGCCCUUUGUACACACCGCCCGUCGCUCCUUCCGAUUGGGUGUGCUGGUGAAGAGUUCGGACUGGCCAAGUGCUCGAAAGGGCGCCGGGCCGGGAAGUUCUU
RNAcentral lists this ribosomal RNA (433 nucleotides) under Trentepohlia sp. TreFl 2. Its description in RNAcentral is "bacterial SSU rRNA". It matches the Rfam family "Eukaryotic small subunit ribosomal RNA", at positions 1300 to 1759 of the family's 1831-position model. Lineage: Eukaryota; Viridiplantae; Chlorophyta; Ulvophyceae; Trentepohliales; Trentepohliaceae. The record is from RNAcentral. RNAcentral also lists the same sequence under 4 other names.